Molecule: ribosomal RNA, 429 nt
Filed under: Gemmatimonadota bacterium
Lineage: Bacteria; Pseudomonadati; Gemmatimonadota
Description: Gemmatimonadetes bacterium partial 16S ribosomal RNA
Rfam family: Bacterial small subunit ribosomal RNA
Source: RNAcentral
UAGGGAAUCUUCGGCAAUGGACGAAAGUCUGACCGAGCAACGCCGCGUGAGUGAAGAAGGUUUUCGGAUCGUAAAACUCUGUUGUUAGAGAAGAACAAGGACGUUAGUAACUGCACGUCCCCUGACGGUAUCUAACCAGAAAGCCACGGCUAACUACGUGCCAGCAGCCGCGGUAAUACGUAGGUGGCAAGCGUUGUCCGGAUUGAUUGGGCGUAAAGCGAGCGCAGGCGGUUUCUUAAGUCUGAUGUGAAAGCCCCCGGCUCAACCGGGGAGGGUCAUUGGAAACUGGGAGACUUGAGUGCAGAAGAGGAGAGUGGAAUUCCAUGUGUAGCGGUGAAAUGCGUAGAUAUAUGGAGGAACACCAGUGGCGAAGGCGGCUCUCUGGUCUGUAACUGACGCUGAGGCUCGAAAGCGUGGGGAGCAAACAGG